GCGCCCGUAGCUCAGCGGAUUAGAGCACUGGUCUUCGGAACCAGGUGUCGGGGGUUCGAAUCCCUCCGGGCGUA
RNAcentral lists this transfer RNA (74 nucleotides) under Chloroflexota bacterium. Its description in RNAcentral is "Chloroflexi bacterium tRNA-Arg". It matches the Rfam family "tRNA". From Rfam's summary of the family: Transfer RNA (tRNA) molecules are approximately 80 nucleotides in length. Their secondary structure includes four short double-helical elements and three loops (D, anti-codon, and T loops). Further hydrogen bonds mediate the characteristic L-shaped molecular structure. tRNAs have two regions of fundamental functional importance: the anti-codon, which is responsible for specific mRNA codon recognition, and the 3' end, to which the tRNAs corresponding amino acid is attached (by aminoacyl-tRNA synthetases). tRNAs cope with the degeneracy of the genetic code in two manners: having more than one tRNA (with a specific anti-codon) for a particular amino acid; and 'wobble' base-pairing, i.e. permitting non-standard base-pairing at the 3rd anti-codon position. The record is from RNAcentral. Lineage: Bacteria; Bacillati; Chloroflexota.